Molecule: ribosomal RNA, 829 nt
Filed under: uncultured archaeon
Lineage: Archaea
Description: bacterial SSU rRNA
Rfam family: Archaeal small subunit ribosomal RNA
Source: RNAcentral
GCGCGUUUUUUCGUGAUGCGCUAGGCAUGCGAGUCGAGAGGUGUAAGACCUCGGCAGACGGCUGAGUAACACGCGGGUAACCUGCCCUGGAGUGGGGGAUAACCUCGGGAAACUGAGAAUAAUACCCCAUAGGUGUGGUAUGCUGGAAUGCUUCCACGCUAAAAGCCCCGGCGCUCCAGGAUGGGCCUGCGGCCUAUCAGGCUGUAGUGGGUGUAACGGACCCACUAACCUACGACGGGUAGGGGCGUUGAGAGACGGAGCCCCCAGAUGGAUUCUGAGACACGAAUCCAGGCCCUACGGGGCGCAGCAGCUACGAAAACUGCCCAAUGUGGGAAACCACGAGGCGGGCAUUCCGAGUGCCAACGCAUUGCGUUGGCUGUUCUUUCGCCUAAAAAGCGAGAGAAGUAAGGGCCGGGUAAGACGGGUGCCAGCCGCCGCGGUAAUACCCGCGGCCCGAGUGGUGCUCUUUGUUAUUGAGCUUAAAGCGUCCGUAGCCGGCCUUGUAAAUCCUUGGGUAAAUCGGGCAGCUCAACUGUUCGAAUUCCGAGGAGACUGCAAGGCUCGGGACCGGGAGAGGCUAGAGGUACUCUCGGGGUAGGGGUAAAAUCCUGUAAUCCUGAGAGGACCACCAGUGGCGAAGGCGUCUAGCUAGAACGGAUCCGACGGUGAGGGACGAAGCCCUGGGGCGCAAACGGGAUUAGAUACCCCGGUAGUCCAGGGUGUAAACGCUGCGGGCUUGGUGUCGGAGGUCCUACGAGGGCGUCCGGUGCCGGAGAGAAAUUGUAAGCCUGCCGCUUGGGGAGUACGGUCGCAAGACUGAAACUUAAAG